RNAcentral lists this ribosomal RNA (300 nucleotides) under uncultured Lactobacillus sp. RNAcentral describes it as "bacterial SSU rRNA". It matches the Rfam family "Bacterial small subunit ribosomal RNA", at positions 496 to 795 of the family's 1533-position model. Lineage: Bacteria; Bacillati; Bacillota; Bacilli; Lactobacillales; Lactobacillaceae. The record is from RNAcentral.
GUGAAUGGCGUGCGAGAGGGAGCGGUAAGAUGUGUGUAGAAAGCUGGUUUCGUAAGUAUUGGGCGUAAAGCGUGCGUGGGCGGGUGUUUAAGGCUGAUGUGAAAGCCCACGGCGCAACCGUGGAGGGUCAUUGGAAACUGGAAAACUUGAGUGCAGAAGAGGAAAGUGGAAUGCCAUGUGUAGCGGUGAAAUGCGCAGAGAUAUGGAGGAACACCAGUGGCGAAGGCGACUUUCUGGUCUGUAACUGACGCUGAUGUGCGAAAGCGUGGGGAUCAAACAGGAUUAGAUACCCUUGUAGUC